GCCGGUAUUGGCCGAGACCCAUGGGCAUCCAGGUCGCGGCGGUCGUCACGCCGCCGCCGUGCUCUUCUUCCCCCUCGUCCUCCUCCCCGGCGUCGCCUUCGUCCUCGGCCAUUACCACGUCGCUGCGGCAUGCCGCGCCAGGCGUCAGGCUGGCGAGGAGCCAGUCGUCGCUGGCGGGCUGGAGCGCCGGCCUCGCCCCGCGGCGCGCCGGGCAGCACGCGAUCAGGCGCACCCUCAGCGCCAGCAUUGACAGCGUCGGGAGCGACGGCGGGGACGACGAGGAGUUCUUGAGGAGGAUCCAGGAGCUCGCGGCGGGGCAGCACCCGGGCGCCGGCGGGUGCGGGUGGCCGGCGAGCGUGGAGCGGAGCGCGAGCAGCGUCGGGCUGCCGCUGUCGCUGCGGAUGCUCAAGCGGCGGAAGCAGCAGCAGCAGCAGCUGGAGCAGGGGCG
This 448-nucleotide long non-coding RNA is filed under the name Setaria italica (foxtail millet). Its description in RNAcentral is "long non-coding RNA (SITA_LNC004105)". The record is from RNAcentral. Lineage: Eukaryota; Viridiplantae; Streptophyta; Magnoliopsida; Poales; Poaceae.